CACGGAGUUAGCCGGUGCUUCUUCUGCGAGUAACGUCAAUGCAAUGUGCUAUUAACACACUACCCUUCCUCCUCGCUGAAAGUGCUUUACAACCCGAAGGCCUUCUUCACACACGCGGCAUGGCUGCAUCAGGCUUGCGCCCAUUGUGCAAUAUUCCCCACUGCUGCCUCCCGUAGGAGUCUGGACCGCGUCUCAGUUCCAGUGUGGCUGGUCAUCCUCUCAGACCAGCUAGGGAUCGUUGCCUAGGUGAGCCACUUACCCCACCUACUAGCUAAUCCCAUCUGGGCACAUCUGAUGGCGUGAGGCCCGAACGGUCCCCCACGUUUCGGACCGAAGACGUUAUGCGGUAUUAGCUACCGUUUCAGUUACGUUACUCCCCCUCAUCAGGCACGUUUCCCAGUCAUUACUCCACCGUCCGCCGCUCCGUCCACC
RNAcentral lists this ribosomal RNA (432 nucleotides) under uncultured Serratia sp. RNAcentral describes it as "partial 16S ribosomal RNA". Lineage: Bacteria; Pseudomonadati; Pseudomonadota; Gammaproteobacteria; Enterobacterales; Yersiniaceae. The record is from RNAcentral.